AAUUGCGUAAGCUCAUUAUUGUAAUUGAUUAUUUCUAAUAUGAAGCUUGUGAAAUGUUUUCCAUUUGGUUUUGAAGGCCAAAUAUUUGGCUUGUCACAGGUCUAUGAAGAAAACAUGGAGAUUCAGGUGUUUGAUGAAAUGUACGACCAUUCUAUACAUAUUUAUUCCUAGAAUACAGGAAACAAUUUCACAAUUCGAUGAUCAUUUAUGUAUAGUGCAAUUGUCAGUGAAAAACUCCUUAAUAUUAUGGUUUAUGCAGAACCUAUUAAUUUUCUGAAGCAAAUUGUGCUACUAAUACACCUUGAAUUGGGUCUAUUUACCAUCAUGAUAAUCUUUACAACUCACUUGUUGAUCCACUUAGGAUUACAGUUGGCGCAUGCCUUGGAUGUAUCAGUCUUUGAGAGAAAAGCUUUGCAGUCCAUUACUGUCCGUUAACAACUUAUCACUUUUCCUUUUUCUCUUGGAUGUAUAAAAUGGAAACUUAAGUUGAGUAAUAGGGUAUAUUUUUGCAGUGAAUUUGGUCAUAACUUUCUCUUUAGAUUAUUUAGAAUGGUUAGGAUUUUUUUUUUCAUUUUGUCUAUCUCCACAUAACAUUUGGUCAAUUUGACGAUGGCUGUUCUUUCCCGUUUGACACUUCUUUCCCUUGUAGAGAAACAUUGGUAAGAACAAAGUCAAAGCUGCCAUUAGAGCUCAUCAAGGCCAGCAGAUUGACAAAGUAAUACUGCUGCACACUUAGAGUUCUGCUGCAGAGUAAGACACAUGUUGCGAUAGUCAUUCCUUUUAUUUUCCUUUACAGAUUAUGCAAGGACAUUGAAAUCUGUUCAAAUGCUCAGUAAAUAUAUCUAUUGCAUUCAAUUAGUGACUGUAAGUACUCCUAAAAUUUGAGUAAUAAUGAGUGAGCUUGCCGGUUGUCCUCAGUCCAAUCACAUAUCAACGAUAAAAGACAAUCUGUGAGUCUGUCCCUUAAUGUAAUCCGUAGAAGUCCAUCCACAGUUUAUAUUUGAUCUCAUAUUUAUGUUUAGCAAAAGAAUUCACUGGUAUAUCUUAGAGGAAGGAAAUAUAUAUUGUUAGAUUGAGAAAUGGCAACAUUGCUAUCUUGAAGCUUAUAUUUUAGACUCAACGUAUUAAUGUUAGAUAAUUUUUUUUAAAAUAUGACAGGCUUUUUAGUCAUACUUUUAUGUUCUUGAUUAGUAUGACAAACAUCUUACUUCGUUACUCUUCUUUUGCUGUCAGCUCUGUUGAAAUGAUGAUUUCUUCUGUCUUUAUUCAUCUGCACCUUCCUCUACUUAUUCUGACUUUUUAUUUAGCUUCAAAAGUGAGUCUCAUGGUGGCUAGGCACAGUGCUUCUUUGGAAGGAAGCUCCUGUUCGUAAAAAUUUGUUCACUUCAUUCUUCAGUUUUGAUUACUAACUUUUACGAUCUUUUAAUUUAUCAUCCAGAUAUUUUAGAUGUUGGCCCCUAUUUCCUCUUUUGAUGAGCUGAUCAUUUGCCUUCAUGAAGGAGAUAAAUUACUGUGUGAGAGGACAAUCAAAAGUUGUGCACCCUUCUGCAGAAGUUUUGCCACCCUGUCAGACCAUUUCAAUGUGAAACUAGGAUCCUCUUUCACAAUUAGGUAAACAACCAAGCUAACAGAGUCCCCAAUUAUAUUAAGCUCAGGAUGUUAUGUGGGUUUCUAAGCCAUCUUUUUCCAUCUGAGUUGGACUAACAUUGACUAUCUUAUAUGUAGAACAGGCAAGAAUCUUAAAUUUGUGACUUUUGUAUCUCAAGUAUGAUGUUUAUGCAGAUGUAAUUUAUUGAUCUACAUGAGCUACAUCUUUUGUGACCAAUGAAGUUAGGGAAUCAGGAUUGCCAACCGAGCCCUGGAUAUACGUAGCGUGUUUCAACAUGGUUCCAGUGUCCUGACUACUACAUGUUUGCAACAUUGGAAAUGUAGCACAGUGGAGCAUUUUUCCAUGAUCCAUUGCCUUGAAAUAUUGGCAUUAUUGGAGGCACUUAUAGUUUUCACUGUGAUCUUGAAUUAACAGAAGGAAAUUUGAGUAGUUGGGUGAUGGAAGCUUCAUGGGUUGAACAUCUAAGAACCAAGGAGAAGUUAAAACAGUGUCCUUCAUUAGGAGACUCUUCCAUGUGUCACGCAGAAGCAUCAUCCUCUGUGACAAUUGAGUCCCUCCAGAAUCUAUUUGUACUAAUAUUGAAGUUUAAAUGCACAAUCUUUUGUUUGUUCAUGAUUGAAAGCCCAUUGGUCUCUUUAGUAGGAUUGGGCUGAUGGCAUUCUGUCAGACGAUAGUGAUGAGGCAUUAUUGCCUGAGAUGGUAUAUAUGGGUUUCAUCUACAUGCAGGUCACUGAAGCAUACACUAUCUAAGAUCUGCUACCGGCUGGAGAUGCCUACACCUGUCGUCAGGAAUAGGGGCAUUCAUAUUGGACGAAAGAAGCCUCUGUUUUCCAUCUCUACUAUGGAGUUAAACCAUGUGAAGAGCAUCAGUGUGCUGCUGAAUAUAUCAUCAUAUAACACUUGUUUCUUCCUCGUACUAGUAGAAAAACAUCUGUAGAAGAUGAAAUGGAUUCGCCAGAGGAGGUCAUUUUAUCAUAUAGUGUCUGUUUUGCUUAAUGGCUAAGCUUAAAUGACCAUAAUUUUGUUUCUUUGUCAUUGCAGGAAUAUGAUUUCAGGAGCUGUCAAAAAAUGAUGUCCAUCUGAAGCCACAGACAGCUCUUUGAAUACGGUAUCAAUCAAUCAAUCCAGAGCCAUCAACGAAUGCUGGCCUGCACAUGGCUCACCUGGUCAUCAUCCGACAUGAUAUCUUCCUGAUGAUACGGGGAGGAUUGCUAGUCCUGAAAACUCGAUCAUGCUUGCCCUGUAAUUGUGAGCUUCCUACAGGCAGCUCGUCAUCUAAAAGCCAUCCUAUCCUAUCCUUCGCAGCCCAAGUUAAAACACUCGAAGAAGAUUAGCACUACUGGGGAAGAGAGAGAAUCUAGCUUAUUUUUCCUGGAACUUGUGAUCUUUUUAUGGAGCUUAUAGUUUGCUGUUUCCGGUGCAGCCCCACUCGCUGAUACAACUCUUCUUUCUUCCCCGGAGAACAAAAGGAGGAGACCGACUGUUCUGGUAGAAUAAAAGCCGCAUGGCCCGAGUCACAUCAUAUGACUGUCGUCGUCUUCACUUCACUGCCUUCCCUUCAUUCAUGCGCUUCGACUUGAGGUACUUCCAAAAGGUCGUACGUUCGACGUCGAGACUUCCAAUUUCAUUUAUAGUUCGAAUUUAUGACAAUUAUUGUAUUCGAAUCGAUGGCCGAUAGUGGGUGGUAUUCGCAUCUAUUCACAUCGUCCACUUCAUGCGUGAAGAUUCUCAUUAUCAUGUUGAUCUAUAAUCAAAUGUGUUUUUUUAUUGAUUAGUUAACUCGUCCGUAAUCAUCGGUGGUUGUCUACAAAGACUGCUGCUAUAGAAGUA
Long non-coding RNA from Musa acuminata AAA Group (dessert banana), 3439 nucleotides. RefSeq lists it as uncharacterized. The record is from RefSeq and is a predicted model, not a curated record. The transcript is spliced from 3 exons. Lineage: Eukaryota; Viridiplantae; Streptophyta; Magnoliopsida; Zingiberales; Musaceae.